Molecule: ribosomal RNA, 1014 nt
Filed under: Escherichia coli
Lineage: Bacteria; Pseudomonadati; Pseudomonadota; Gammaproteobacteria; Enterobacterales; Enterobacteriaceae
Description: partial 23S ribosomal RNA
Rfam family: Bacterial large subunit ribosomal RNA
Source: RNAcentral
CAUAGGUUAAUGAGGCGAACCGGGGGAACUGAAACAUCUAAGUACCCCGAGGAAAAGAAAUCAACCGAGAUUCCCCCAGUAGCGGCGAGCGAACGGGGAGGAGCCCAGAGCCUGAAUCAGUGUGUGUGUUAGUGGAAGCGUCUGGAAAGGCGCGCGAUACAGGGUGACAGCCCCGUACACAAAAAUGCACAUAUUGUGAGCUCGAUGAGUAGGGCGGGACACGUGGUAUCCUGUCUGAAUAUGGGGGGACCAUCCUCCAAGGCUAAAUACUCCUGACUGACCGAUAGUGAACCAGUACCGUGAGGGAAAGGCGAAAAGAACCCCGGCGAGGGGAGUGAAAAAGAACCUGAAACCGUGUACGUACAAGCAGUGGGAGCCUCUUAAUGGGGUGACUGCGUACCUUUUGUAUAAUGGGUCAGCGACUUAUAUUCUGUAGCAAGGUUAACCGAAUAGGGGAGCCGAAGGGAAACCGAGUCUUAACUGGGCGUUAAGUUGCAGGGUAUAGACCCGAAACCCGGUGAUCUAGCCAUGGGCAGGUUGAAGGUUGGGUAACACUAACUGGAGGACCGAACCGACUAAUGUUGAAAAAUUAGCGGAUGACUUGUGGCUGGGGGUGAAAGGCCAAUCAAACCGGGAGAUAGCUGGUUCUCCCCGAAAGCUAUUUAGGUAGCGCCUCGUGAAUUCAUCUCCGGGGGUAGAGCACUGUUUCGGCAAGGGGGUCAUCCCGACUUACCAACCCGAUGCAAACUGCGAAUACCGGAGAAUGUUAUCACGGGAGACACACGGCGGGUGCUAACGUCCGUCGUGAAGAGGGAAACAACCCAGACCGCCAGCUAAGGUCCCAAAGUCAUGGUUAAGUGGGAAACGAUGUGGGAAGGCCCAGACAGCCAGGAUGUUGGCUUAGAAGCAGCCAUCAUUUAAAGAAAGCGUAAUAGCUCACUGGUCGAGUCGGCCUGCGCGGAAGAUGUAACGGGGCUAAACCAUGCACCGAAGCUGCGGCAGCGACACUAUGUG